UAGUGAUUAUACUUAAGUUUUUUCUUGGUGAAUUUUACUUUUUUUGUUGUAAAUUGGGUGAUAUGAGGGAGUUGGUUGAUUGGAUCUAUAUAUUGCCACUGCAGUCAUUGAGAGUAAAGUGAUGCAGUUUAAAAUAUGCAAACAAUUGUAGUUCGAGAAAUGGUGACGGCAAUAAGUAAUAGAAAAAAAAAAGAGUACAUAAGUGAUUAAGUAUCAAU
Molecule: long non-coding RNA, 218 nt
Filed under: Ananas comosus (pineapple)
Lineage: Eukaryota; Viridiplantae; Streptophyta; Magnoliopsida; Poales; Bromeliaceae
Description: long non-coding RNA (ACOM_LNC028917)
Source: RNAcentral